GACGAACGCUGGCGGCGUGCUUAACACAUGCAAGUCGAACGGAAAGGCCCUGCUUAUGUGGGGUGCUCGAGUGGCGAACGGGUGAGUAACACGUGAGUAACCUGCCCUUGACUUUGGGAUAACUUCAGGAAACUGGGGCUAAUACCGGAUAGGAGCUCCUGCUGCAUGGUGGGGGUUGGAAAGUUUCGGCGGUUGGGGAUGGACUCGCGGCUUAUCAGCUUGUUGGUGGGGUAGUGGCUUACCAAGGCUUUGACGGGUAGCCGGCCUGAGAGGGUGACCGGCCACAUUGGGACUGAGAUACGGCCCAGAAUCCUACGGGAGGCAGCAGUGGGGAAUAUUGCACAAUGGGCGGAAGCCUGAUGCAGCAACGCCGCGUGCGGGAUGACGGCCUUCGGGUUGUAAACCGCUUUCGCCUGUGACGAAGCGUGAGUGACGGUAAUGGGUAAAGAAGCACCGGCUAACUACGUG
This 468-nucleotide ribosomal RNA is filed under the name uncultured bacterium. RNAcentral describes it as "partial 16S ribosomal RNA". It matches the Rfam family "Bacterial small subunit ribosomal RNA", at positions 28 to 507 of the family's 1533-position model. The record is from RNAcentral.